This 368-nucleotide long non-coding RNA is filed under the name Mus spicilegus (steppe mouse). RNAcentral describes it as "lncRNA (ENSMSIG00000015728.1)". The record is from RNAcentral. Lineage: Eukaryota; Metazoa; Chordata; Mammalia; Rodentia; Muridae.
GGCAAAGGAAGCCACACCCUGCUGGGCUCUAGGAAGACUUCUCAGAGAGGUGGAGUUCUGAGGCUGCCUUUUGGCAGAGAGCCUGAGUACACCGACCCACUCCCUGAAGAUAAGCAAAGCUAACUAAGGCUGAGAGGAAGGUGCGGGAGAUGCAGAAGGCCCAGCAAGACUUUCCUCAUGCUGCCUGGGAACCAGGGGAUGGAAAGGCCCACACAGCACAUCACUGACAUUUGGAAGCUGUGUGCGUGGCUGCUGUAGCUGGUGGAAAAUAUCAACAGGUGUUGGUGCAGAGGAGCAAGGUGAGGUGCUCCUGGUGGCUCCUGGAAACCUUGUUUGGGUUUCUGUGGUCCCAGGAGCGCAGGGCACAU